GGGCGGGCGUGGGCUAAUACAAGACCUGAAAGGGAAAUAUGCCCGCCGGCUUCUGACGGCUUUGAGCGCCUGCCCACCCAUUU
RNAcentral lists this non-coding RNA (83 nucleotides) under Candidatus Glomeribacter gigasporarum BEG34. RNAcentral's name for it is "sRNA-Xcc1". It matches the Rfam family "sRNA-Xcc1". The record is from Rfam by way of RNAcentral. Lineage: Bacteria; Pseudomonadati; Pseudomonadota; Betaproteobacteria; Burkholderiales; Burkholderiaceae.